AGUGAACGCUGGCGGUAGGCCUAACACAUGCAAGUCGAACGGCAGCACAGUAAGAGCUUGCUCUUACGGGUGGCGAGUGGCGGACGGGUGAGGAAUACAUCGGAAUCUACUUUUUCGCGGGGGAUAACGUAGGGAAACUUACGCUAAUACCGCAUACGACCUACGGGUGAAAGCAGGGGAUCUUCGGACCUUGCGCGAUUGAAUGAGCCGAUGUCGGAUUAGCUAGUUGGCGGGGUAAAGGCCCACCAAGGCGACGAUCCGUAGCUGGUCUGAGAGGAUGAUCAGCCACACUGGAACUGAGACACGGUCCAGACUCCUACGGGAGGCAGCAGUGGGGAAUAUUGGACAAUGGGCGCAAUCCUGAUCCAGCCAUACCGCGUAGGUGAAGAAGGCCUUCGGGUUCUAAAGCCCUUUUGUUGGGAAAGAAAAGCAGCAGGUUAAUACCCCGCUGUUCUGACGGUACCCAAAGAAUAAGCACCGGCUAACUUCGUG
RNAcentral lists this ribosomal RNA (492 nucleotides) under uncultured bacterium. RNAcentral describes it as "partial 16S ribosomal RNA". It matches the Rfam family "Bacterial small subunit ribosomal RNA", at positions 29 to 507 of the family's 1533-position model. The record is from RNAcentral.